GAUGAACGCUAGCGGCAGGCUUAAUACAUGCAAGUCGAGGGGCAGCACGGUUAGCAAUAACUGGUGGCGACCGGCGCACGGGUGCGUAACACGUAUACAAUCUACCUUAAACAGGGGGAUAGCCUUUCGAAAGAGAGAUUAAUACCCCGUAAUAAAUUGAACGGCAUCGUUUGAUUUUGAAAGCUCCGGCGGUUUGAGAUGAGUAUGCGUCUGAUUAGCUAGUUGGUGAGGUAACGGCUCACCAAGGCGACGAUCAGUAGGGAUCUGAGAGGACUAACCCCCACACUGGUACUGAGACACGGACCAGACUCCUACGGGAGGCAGCAGUAAGGAAUAUUGGUCAAUGGAGGCAACUCUGAACCAGCCAUGCCGCGUGCAGGAUGACGGCCCUAUGGGUUGUAAACUGCUUUUAUACAAGAGAAAACCCUGGUACGUGUACCAGGUUGAUAGUAUUAGUAAGAAUAAAGCAUCGGCUAACUUCGUGCCAG
Molecule: ribosomal RNA, 488 nt
Filed under: uncultured bacterium
Lineage: Bacteria
Description: bacterial SSU rRNA
Rfam family: Bacterial small subunit ribosomal RNA
Source: RNAcentral